GACGAACGCUGGCGGCGUGCUUGACACAUGCAAGUCGAACGAUGAAGCCGGAGCUUGCUCCGGUGGAUUAGUGGCGAACGGGUGAGUAACACGUGAGUAAUCUGCCCCUGACUCUGGGAUAAGCACUGGAAACGGUGUCUAAUACUGGAUACGAGCUGCGAAGGCAUCUUCAGCAGCUGGAAAGAAUUUCGGUCAGGGAUGAACUCGCGUCCUAUCAGUUAGUUGGUGAGGUAAUGGCUCACCAAGACGACGACGGGUAGCCGGCCUGAGAGGGUGACCGGCCACACUGGGACUGAGACACGGCCCAG
This 308-nucleotide ribosomal RNA is filed under the name uncultured bacterium. RNAcentral describes it as "bacterial SSU rRNA". It matches the Rfam family "Bacterial small subunit ribosomal RNA", at positions 28 to 334 of the family's 1533-position model. The record is from RNAcentral.